UGACCCCAUAUCAGGUGGGAUUACCCGCUGAGUUUAAUCAUAUUAAUAAACGGAGGAAAAUAAACUUAAAAGGAUUCCCUUAGUAAUGGAAAGCAAAACUAUAAUAACCCAUUCUUAGAAUUAGGUGGAUCCAUCGUCCAAAUUGUAGUCUAGAUAAGCGUCCACAGUGUCGGACCAGGCCCAAGUCCCCUAGAAGGGGGCGUCAGAGAGGGUGAGAGCCUCGUUGUGCUCAGGCCCUGUCGCACCAUGAGGCUCUAUCUACGAGUUGGGUUGUUUGGGAAUGCAGCCAAAAUACAGCAGUGAAUUCCAUCCAAGGCUAAAUAUGAGCGAGAGAGACUAAUAACAAACAAGUACCACGAUGGAAAGAUGAAAAGGACUUUGAAAAGAGAGUCAAAGAUUUCUUGAAAUUAUCGGGUAGGAAGUGGAUGAGGGACAAUGAUGCACCCCGGUCAGAUGUAGAAUGACGAUGAGCCGGUCUGCCGAUUAACUCGGGGCAUGGAUCAGCACGGAUUAGGGGCGACCGAAUCCAAGGCUUUUGGUACUCUUGUGGAAUGCCAUCUCAUCGAUUAUGGAAGGCAGUGUGCCCCUCUGGUAUGCUUCGUCAUCUUUGCACUCCGAAAGCUGGCCUAUGGGCUCCCCAUUCGACCCAUUUUGAAACACGAACCAAGGAGUCUAACAUGUGUGCGAGUCAACGGGCUAGUAAACCCAUAAGGCAUAAGGAAGUUGAUUGGUUAGAUCGCCUUGAGGGGUGCACCUCCGACCGACCUUGAUCUUUUAAGAAGGGUUCUAGUGUGAGCAUAACUGUUGAAACCCAAAAGAUGGUGAACUAUGCCUGAGAGAGGCGAAACCAUAGGAAACUCUAGUAGAGGCCGACAGCGAAACUGACGUGCAAAUCAUUCGUCUGACUUGGGUAUAGGGGCGAAAGACUAAUCGAACUUGUCUAGUAGCUGGGUCCCUUUAAAUUUUACCUCAUAAUAGUUUGAACUCGCAUGCGAGUUCUAUCGAGUAAAGAUAAUUAUUAGAGGCCUCGGGGGCACAACGUCCUCGACCUAUUCUUAAACUUAAAAUAGGUAGGACGGCACAACUGCUUUGUUGAGCCACGCCACGCAAUCAAGAACUCCGAGUUGGCCUUUCUGGAAACCAGACCUGGCGAUGCAGGAUGAAUUGGAAACCAGGUAAUGGUACCAAACUAUGUGCUAACCUAGAUCCCACAAAGGGUAUUGGUCGAUUAAGAGAGAAGGACGGUGGUCAUGGAUGUCAAAAUCAGCAAAGAAGUUUGUAGCAACUCACCUUUCGAAUCAAUGAGCCAUAAAAAUAUAUGGUGCUUAUACGCACGACCUACACUUGGCCGUCGGGGAAAGUGCCAGGCCUCAAUAAGUAGGACGGCGCAGCGGUCACUGUAAAACCUUAGGCGCGAGCCCGAGCGGAGCGGCCGCCAACGUAGAUCUUAGUAGUAGUAGAAAAUAUUCAAAUGAGAACUUUGAACGCCGAAGAGGGGAAAGGUUCCAUGUGAAAGGCACUUGCUCAUGGGCUAGUCGAUCCUAAGGGUCAGGGGAACCCCGAUAGAUAGUGUAUUUUGAGCGUACUCCAAAAGAGAAUAUGAUUAAAAUUCCUGAAUCGGUAUGUAGUGGUCGAUAGCAAUGUUAGGAAGUAUAGAGACAUUAGCGGGAGCCUCAGAAAGAGUUAUCUUUUCUAUUUAACAGCCUGCCCACCCUGGAAUCUGCUCAGUUAGAGGUAGGGUCCUACGGCUAGAAGAGAACCGCACAUCGCAUGGUGUCCAGUGCACUCAAGGCAGCCCUUGACAAUCCAAAAGACCGAAUGUCCUCCACGCCUGGUCGUACUUAUAACCGCAUCAGGUCUCCAAGGUGAACAAUCUCUGGUCGAUGGAACAAUGUAGGCAAGGGAUGUCGGCAAAAUGGAUUCGUAACUUAAGGAAAAGGAUUGGCUCUGAGGGCUGGGCACGGGGGUCCCAGUCCUUGAACUAGUCGACGUUUGGUAAACUACUUAAGCUACUUCCAUGGCUAGAGCGAGUUGCCGUGGGCUGGUCGGUGGACGGAAUGGGAACCAUUUCUUCGGGGGCCUUUUCCACGUGUCGAAUAGCCAAUUCAAAACUGGUACAGACAAGGUGAAUCUGACUGUUUAAUUAAAACAAAGCAUUGCAAUGGACCCAACAGAUGUUCACGUAAUAUGAUUUCUUCCCAGUGCUCUGGAUGUCAAAGUGAAGAAAUUCAAAUAAGCAUGGGUAAACGGCGGGAGUAAUUAUGACUCUCUCAAGGUAGCCAAAUGCCUCAUAAUCUAAUUAGUGAUGCGCAUGAAUGGAUUAAUGAGAUUCCCACCAUCCCUGUCUACUAUCUAGCAAAACCACAACCAAGGGAAUGGGUUUGGCAGAAUUAGUGGUGAAAGAAGACCAUGUUGAGCUUUACUUUAGUCCGACUUUAUAAAAUGAAGUAAGAGGUUUAGUAUAAGUAGGAUCCGAAAGACAAAAGUGCAAUACCACUACUUUUAACAUUAUUUUACUUAUUUCAUGAAUCAAAAGUGGGGUACUGGCCCUCUUUUUAGACCCAAGAGUCGCUCUACGGGCUGAUCCACGUGGAACACAUUGUCAGGUGGGGAGUUUUGCUGGGGCGGCACAUUUGUUAAAAGAUAACGUAGGUGUCCUAAGAUAAGCUCAAUGAGAAAAGAAAUCUCGUGUGGAACAGAAGGGUAAAAACUCAUUUUAUUCUAAUUUCCACUACUUAUAUAAACCAUGAAAACGUGGCCUAAUGAUCUUUUAGACUUUCAAAAUUUGAAGCUAGAGGUGUCAGAAAAGUUACCAUAGGGAUAUCUGGCUUGUGGCAGCUAAGCGUUCAUUGUGACGUUGCUUUUUGAUCUUUCAAUGUAGGCUCUUCCUAUCAUAAUAGAAGCAGAAUUAACCAAGUAAUGGACUAUUCACCCACCAAUAGGGAACAUGAUCUGGGUUUAGAUCAUCGUGAGAUAGGUUAGUAUUACCCUACUAAUGACAGUGUCGCGAUAGUAACUCACCCUAGUUCCAGAGGAAUUGCUGAUUCACACAAUUGGUCAUCGUUCUUGGUUGAAAAGCCAGUGGGGUGAAGAUACCAUGUACUGGAUUAUGACUGAACACCUAGAAGGCUGAAUCAUGGCUAGAAGUGAUACAUGCACCCUCCGUCUGCUUGCCAACCCGCAGUAGGGGCCUCGGCCCCUAAGGGCAUGUGUCGUUGGCUAAGCCAUCGCUAUGGAAGGUUCACGAUUGCCUCCUUGAAGUGUAAUUUUAAUUGAGCAGCAGGUAGAAUCCUUUGCAGAUGACUUAAAUAUGCGACAGGGCAUUGUAAGUAGCAGAGUGGCCUUGCUUCCAUGAUCUACUCAUAUUCACCCCUUUUUCGCUCUAGUUUGU
Molecule: non-coding RNA, 3391 nt
Organism: Capsicum annuum
Lineage: Eukaryota; Viridiplantae; Streptophyta; Magnoliopsida; Solanales; Solanaceae
Source: Rfam